Non-coding RNA from Cucurbita pepo subsp. pepo (vegetable marrow), 462 nucleotides. Lineage: Eukaryota; Viridiplantae; Streptophyta; Magnoliopsida; Cucurbitales; Cucurbitaceae. The record is from RefSeq and is a predicted model, not a curated record.
UGAUAUGGAGAAAAGAUAUUAUUUGCGUUCAAAACUAAUUUAGAUUUGGCAAAACAUAUACUGAAUUUUGAAUGUGUUGAUAAUCUUUCUAUUGGAAGUUUAAUAGUAAGAACAAAACUUGGAGACUGUAUAGCUGAAAAUCAUUCAAUAAAUUGGUUUGAUAAAAAAGCAUCUAGAACGGCCUCAGAGAUCUUGGUGGUUAGUGAUCAUCAAAUGGCAUAUAACACCAUCAAGAGUAGCAAAUAUUUAUAAUCACAUCAACGGCCUUGUUAAAUAGAGAAAACGCCAAUGAAAACAAAGAGACAGUCAUCGCUCUUUCAAAAGAAAAUAAAAGAAAAUCAGAAGAAGUAACUAGAAGGUUAUUUAGAUGUGAUCAGAAGUAGCUGGUUGUAAUAUCAUGGAUUAUCAUUGGGAAUCCGUCUGAUUUUUUUCAUCCUUUCACAUAAAAAAACCUCCAGUUCA